CAGCAGCCGCCGCGGUAAUACAGAGGGUGCGAGCGUUAAUCGGAUUUACUGGGCGUAAAGCGUGCGUAGGCGGCUUUUUAAGUCGGAUGUGAAAUCCCUGAGCUUAACUUAGGAAUUGCAUUCGAUACUGGGAAGCUAGAGUAUGGGAGAGGAUGGUAGAAUUCCAGGUGUAGCGGUGAAAUGCGUAGAGAUCUGGAGGAAUACCGAUGGCGAAGGCAGCCAUCUGGCCUAAUACUGACGCUGAGGUACGAAAGCAUGGGGAGCAAACAGGAUUAGAUACCCCCGUAGUCCCUGUCUCUUAUAC
Molecule: ribosomal RNA, 304 nt
Filed under: uncultured bacterium
Lineage: Bacteria
Description: partial 16S ribosomal RNA
Rfam family: Bacterial small subunit ribosomal RNA
Source: RNAcentral